CAGCCGCCGCGGGAAUACGUAGGGCGCAAGCGUUAUCCGGAAUUAUUGGGCGUAAAGAGCUCGUAGGCGGUUUGUCGCGUCUGCCGUGAAAGUCCGGGGCUCAACCCCGGAUCUGCGGUGGGUACGGGCAGACUAGAGUGAUGUAGGGGAGACUGGAAUUCCUGGUGUAGCGGUGAAAUGCGCAGAUAUCAGGAGGAACACCGAUGGCGAAGGCAGGUCUCUGGGCAUUAACUGACGCUGAGGAGCGAAAGCAUGGGGAGCGAACAGGAUUAGAUACCCGCGUAGUCCCUGUCUCUUAUAC
Molecule: ribosomal RNA, 301 nt
Filed under: uncultured bacterium
Lineage: Bacteria
Description: partial 16S ribosomal RNA
Rfam family: Bacterial small subunit ribosomal RNA
Source: RNAcentral